This is a non-coding RNA of Coregonus clupeaformis (lake whitefish), 881 nucleotides long. NCBI's taxonomy places the organism in Eukaryota, Metazoa, Chordata, Actinopteri, Salmoniformes, Salmonidae. The record is from the annotation of a RefSeq genome assembly.
AUGGAUGGCAUCCUUCUGAAACCUAUUGAAUCAAAGUGCAACCUGAACAGCAGGGUCAGUACUCUGACCAUAGACAUGAAGGAGUGGACCAAAGUGAACAAACUCCAGUGUUCGGCCAUGAAGAGUGGUGAAGUCACACCGGUCAUUCAGGACCUCAGCUUCACCAAAGGAUGUCGGAGCCCCUUCAGUGUCCGUCCACCUUCUCCCGGAGGAAGACACGAAGGAGGAGGGGAAGUGACUCUGGUGUGCCUGGUGGUCAGCCCGUCUCUCUGUGACGUCUACAUCAUGUGGAAGGUGGGCAGAGGCGAGUACCAGGAGGGGCUCACCAGCCGUCCUCAGAAAACCCCGGAAGGCAACGACUCUGUUACCAGCGUCUUCACCACCACCAAGAAUGAGUGGCAGAGAAACGUGCAUUUCACAUGCGCCGUCAAGUACGCCGGCUCGGACAACAACACCGCACCUAAGGAGAGGAGUGUGUCGAAGUCCAUGGAGAACAUCCUACUGACUGAGCCUGAGGCGGGCUUCGCUCUGAGCUGCACGGACAACGAUGAGGAUGAGUUCAGCAGCCUUUGGUCCACCACCUCCUCCUUCAUCAACCUCUUCCUUCUUUCCCUCACGUACAGCACAGUGCUCAGCCUGGUCAAGAUGAAGCAGUGAAGAACACAUGAUGGACUGCAUAGAUAGAUGUGUCUAGAUUAGAAAGGAAAUGGUCUAGAAUGGUUAUGGCAUAGUGUUCUUUAGUAAUAAUGUUAUGUAUAUAUCCAAUACGUUAUUGAUUAUGAUUGAUUAGUAUUGUUGUUCUCAAUAUUAUACAAGCAUUGUGGUGAUAUGUUAUUUUUCAUUCAUUGAUUUAUAUUGUAUCCUGUGUAUCCUGUGAUGUU